CACGGGGGUUGCGAGCGUUGUCCGGAAUUACUAGGCAUAAAGGGCGGCAGGCGGAUCCAUAAGUUUAUCGUUUAAGGCGUCGGCUUAACCGGCGUAGGGCGGUAGAUACUGUGGAUCUGGAAUGCGGUUGGGGAAGACAGAAUUCCUGGUGUAGCGGUGGAAUGCGCAGAGAUCAGGAGGAAUACCGAAGGCGAAGGCAGUCUUCCAAGCCGUUAUUGACGCUCAACUGCGAAGGUGUGGGUAUCAAACAGGAUUAGAUACCCUGGUAGUCCCUGA
This 276-nucleotide ribosomal RNA is filed under the name uncultured prokaryote. RNAcentral describes it as "partial 16S ribosomal RNA". It matches the Rfam family "Bacterial small subunit ribosomal RNA", at positions 524 to 800 of the family's 1533-position model. The record is from RNAcentral.